Long non-coding RNA from Molossus molossus (Pallas's mastiff bat), 651 nucleotides. RefSeq lists it as uncharacterized. The transcript has 4 exons. Lineage: Eukaryota; Metazoa; Chordata; Mammalia; Chiroptera; Molossidae. The record is from RefSeq and is a predicted model, not a curated record.
GUCACUGAGGCCAGACUUCUUCUCACUAUAAAAAAGGAGAAACUGGACAAACAUAUGAAACAGCCAUUUCCGAAUACUGGACAAGAAGCAGUGCUGCAAUCCAGGAGGUAGGACAGGAAAUGAGCCCAACGCGGCCCUGGCUUUCUGCCAGGAGCCUCCUUUCCAGAUAGCGGCACAGAGGGUGUCUACAAAUAAAACCACACGAAGCCACACUGCUGAGAACCAAGGAUACGGAAAAAAUCUUAAAGGUUCACAGAUGGGAGACCCGAGGUCCACGUGUAUGGCCCAAGACAGUGAUGGGAGAAGGGGAUGUCUGCACCUGUACCUGACAUGAUUGAAUCCAGGCAACUCACCUGCUCGUUCAGCAGGACCACUGUCCCUUGUCUCCUCAAGAAGAAGGACUUUCCCUUUGCCCAGUAACAACCCAACCAGUGAGAAGCUGCAACACCCCAAUCAGCGAGAAGCUACCAUAACUCUGUACUCUUGCUCUUCUCCAAUUAACUCUUGUUCGGAAACAGCCCCUCCCAGUUUCCUCUUUUCCUCUAUAAAAGAAUGUUCCUCUCUCAUUCUCUGGACUUGCCGGUGGUUCGCCAUAGCUUGCUUGUUCUGAAUUGCAAUUUAUCUGCUAUUCCUGAAUAAACUCAAUUUUAC